Choloepus didactylus (southern two-toed sloth) is the source of this 696-nucleotide long non-coding RNA. RefSeq lists it as uncharacterized. The record is from RefSeq and is a predicted model, not a curated record. The transcript is spliced from 3 exons. NCBI's taxonomy places the organism in Eukaryota, Metazoa, Chordata, Mammalia, Pilosa, Megalonychidae.
GGCUGGGAGAGUGCAUGGAAAUCGUGAAGUCUUUAUUGUCUUUCCCUUUUGAAAUAUUUUGGAAGGAGAGUUAAGAAUAGCUCAGGAAUUGGUCUUAUUCUUUUUAUGAGAAGAAUGACCAGAAGCAUAAAAGCUAAAUCUUCCUGCAAGUGCAAGACACCUUUUUCGGUGUUUGCAAUAAACCCAACAGAAUAAAUUGCUAUCUGUAAAGUACUGUACCAUGACACCUAAAAUGAAGGGAAUGGUAAAGCAAAGUAAUGGCUCAAAGGCUGCCACCGGGAGCUUUUGUCUACAUUUAACUCAUUGUGGCAAAGUUGGACAUUCCAAAGAUGGCAUAGAUGAACAUGACCAGGAAGAGUAGGAGGCCGAUGUUAAACAACGCAGGAAGGGACAUCAUCAAAGCAAAGAGCAGCGUGCGGAUCCCCUUUGCUCCUUUGAUCAGGCGCAAGAUUCGGCCAAUCCUGGCAAGACGGAUAACUCGGAACAAGCUUAGUCAUCCUUGUAUGUCACACAUGAAUUGCCCUGAUCACAAGAUGAAUUUUUCCUGAGAUAACUUCCACUCCUCUACCUCCAUUAUGAGCAGGUAAUAAAAUACUGUCUCUAAAUUUCUACUUUGGCAUUACUUUAGGCAAUGUGUUGCACUGUAUUGUACUGAUGUUACUGUUAUAUUAGAGACCUGUAUUGUCCUCUCUUUUC